This 73-nucleotide transfer RNA is filed under the name Cronartium comandrae C4. RNAcentral's name for it is "tRNA-Val (GAC) (tRNA-Val-GAC-6-1)". It matches the Rfam family "tRNA". Rfam says of the family: Transfer RNA (tRNA) molecules are approximately 80 nucleotides in length. The record is from RNAcentral. Lineage: Eukaryota; Fungi; Basidiomycota; Pucciniomycetes; Pucciniales; Coleosporiaceae.
GACUGGAUAGCCUAAUAGUAAAGGCAUCACAUUGACAAUGCUUGGGUCCCAGGUUCAAACCCUGGUCUAGUCA